GGCCAGACUCCUACGGGAGGCAGCAGUGGGGAAUAUUGCACAAUGGGGGGAACCCUGAUGCAGCGACGCCGCGUGGGUGAAGAAGUCAUUCGUGACGUAAAGCCCUAUCAGCAGGGAAGAAAAUGACGGUACCUGACUAAGAAGCCCCGGCUAACUACGUGCCAGCAGCCGCGGUAAUACGUAGGGGGCAAGCGUUAUCCGGAUUUACUGGGUGUAAAGGGAGCGUAGACGGCGGCGCAAGUCCGGAGUGAAAGCCCGGGGCCCAACCCCGGGACUGCUCUGGAAACUGCGGCGCUGGAGUACGGGAGGGGCAGGCGGAAUUCCUAGUGUAGCGGUGAAAUGCGUAGAUAUUAGGGGGAACACCAGUGGCGAAGGCGGCCUGCUGGGCUUUUACUGACGCUGAGGCUCGAAAGUGUGGGGAGCAAACAGGAUUAGAUACCCGAGUA
This 446-nucleotide ribosomal RNA is filed under the name uncultured bacterium. RNAcentral describes it as "partial 16S ribosomal RNA". It matches the Rfam family "Bacterial small subunit ribosomal RNA", at positions 329 to 792 of the family's 1533-position model. The record is from RNAcentral.